CAGUAGCCGCGGUAAUACGUAGGGCGCAAGCGUUGUCCGGAAUUAUUGGGCGUAAAGAGCUCGUAGGCGGUCUGUCGCGUCUGGUGUGAAAUCCCGAGGCUCAACCUCGGGCUUGCAUCGGGUACGGGCAGACUAGAGUGCGGUAGGGGAGACUGGAAUUCCUGGUGUAGCGGUGGAAUGCGCAGAUAUCAGGAGGAACACCGAUGGCGAAGGCAGGUCUCUGGGCCGCAACUGACGCUGAGGAGCGAAAGCAUGGGAGCGAACAGGAUUAGAUACCCCUGUAGUCCCUGUCUCUUAUACC
Molecule: ribosomal RNA, 301 nt
Filed under: uncultured bacterium
Lineage: Bacteria
Description: partial 16S ribosomal RNA
Rfam family: Bacterial small subunit ribosomal RNA
Source: RNAcentral